UUAAGCGACUAAGCGUACACGGUGGAUGCCCUGGCAGUCAGAGGCGAUGAAGGACGUGCUAAUCUGCGAAAAGCGUCGGUAAGGUGAUAUGAACCGUUACAGCCGGCGAUGUCCGAAUGGGGAAACCCAGUGUGAUUCGUCACACUAUCGUUAACUGAAUACAUAGGUUAACGAGGCGAACCGGGGGAACUGAAACAUCUAAGUACCCCGAGGAAAAGAAAUCAACCGAGAUUCCCCCAGUAGCGGCGAGCGAACGGGGAGCAGCCCAGAGUCUGAAUCAGCUUGUGUGUUAGUGGAACGGUCUGGAAAGUCCGACGGUACAGGGUGAUAGUCCCGUACACCAAAAUGCACAGGUUGUGAACUCGAAGAGUAGGGCGGGACACGUGGUAUCCUGUCUGAAUAUGGGGGGACCAUCCUCCAAGGCUAAAUACUCCUGACUGACCGAUAGUGAACCAGUACCGUGAGGGAAAGGCGAAAAGAACCCCGGCGAGGGGAGUGAAAAAGAACCUGAAACCGUGUACGUACAAGCAGUGGGAGCACCUUCGGGUGUGACUGCGUACCUUUUGUAUAAUGGGUCAGCGACUUAUAUUCUGUAGCAAGGUUAACCGUAUAGGGGAGCCGCAGGGAAACCGAGUCUUAACUGGGCGUUAAGUUGCAGGGUAUAGACCCGAAACCCGGUGAUCUAGCCAUGGGCAGGUUGAAGGUUGGGUAACACUAACUGGAGGACCGAACCGACUAAUGUUGAAAAAUUAGCGGAUGACUUGUGGCUGGGGGUGAAAGGCCAAUCAAACCGGGAGAUAGCUGGUUCUCCCCGAAAGCUAUUUAGGUAGCGCCUCGUGAAUUCAUCUUCGGGGGUAGAGCACUGUUUCGGCUAGGGGGUCAUCCCGACUUACCAACCCGAUGCAAACUACGAAUACCGAAGAAUGUUAUCACGGGAGACACACGGCGGGUGCUAACGUCCGUCGUGAAGAGGGAAACAACCCAGACCGCCAGCUAAGGUCCCAAAGUCAUGGUUAAGUGGGAAACGAUGUGGGAAGGCACAGACAGCCAGGAUGUUGGCUUAGAAGCAGCCAUCAUUUAAAGAAAGCGUAAUAGCUCACUGGUCGAGUCGGCCUGCGCGGAAGAUGUAACGGGGCUAAACCAUGCACCGAAGCUGCGGCAGCGACACUAUGUGUUGUUGGGUAGGGGAGCGUUCUGUAAGCCUGCGAAGGUGACCUGUGAGGGUUGCUGGAGGUAUCAGAAGUGCGAAUGCUGACAUAAGUAACGAUAAAGCGGGUGAAAAGCCCGCUCGCCGGAAGACCAAGGGUUCCUGUCCAACGUUAAUCGGGGCAGGGUGAGUCGACCCCUAAGGCGAGGCCGAAAGGCGUAGUCGAUGGGAAACAGGUUAAUAUUCCUGUACUUGGUGUUACUGCGAAGGGGGGACGGAGAAGGCUAUGUUAGCCGGGCGACGGUUGUCCCGGUUUAAGCAUGUAGGCUGAUUGUCCAGGCAAAUCCGGAUAAUCAAGGCUGAGGUGUGAUGACGAGGCACUACGGUGCUGAAGUAACAAAUGCCCUGCUUCCAGGAAAAGCCUCUAAGCAUCAGGUAACAUUAAAUCGUACCCCAAACCGACACAGGUGGUCAGGUAGAGAAUACCAAGGCGCUUGAGAGAACUCGGGUGAAGGAACUAGGCAAAAUGGUGCCGUAACUUCGGGAGAAGGCACGCUGGUGUGUAGGUGAAGCCCCUGCGGGUGGAGCUGAGACCAGUCGAAGAUACCAGCUGGCUGCAACUGUUUAUUAAAAACACAGCACUGUGCAAACACGAAAGUGGACGUAUACGGUGUGACGCCUGCCCGGUGCCGGAAGGUUAAUUGAUGGGGUUAUCCGUAAGGAGAAGCUCUUGAUCGAAGCCCCGGUAAACGGCGGCCGUAACUAUAACGGUCCUAAGGUAGCGAAAUUCCUUGUCGGGUAAGUUCCGACCUGCACGAAUGGCGUAAUGAUGGCCAGGCUGUCUCCACCCGAGACUCAGUGAAAUUGAACUCGCUGUGAAGAUGCAGUGUACCCGCGGCAAGACGGAAAGACCCCGUGAACCUUUACUAUAGCUUGACACUGAACAUUGAGCCUUGAUGUGUAGGAUAGGUGGGAGGCUUUGAAGCGUGGACGCCAGUCUGCGUGGAGCCAACCUUGAAAUACCACCCUUUAAUGUUUGAUGUUCUAACGUUGGCCCCUUACCGGGGUUGCGGACAGUGUCUGGUGGGUAGUUUGACUGGGGCGGUCUCCUCCCAAAGCGUAACGGAGGAGCACGAAGGUUAGCUAAUCCUGGUCGGACAUCAGGAGGUUAGUGCAAUGGCAUAAGCUAGCUUGACUGCGAGCGUGACGGCGCGAGCAGGUGCGAAAGCAGGUCAUAGUGAUCCGGUGGUUCUGAAUGGAAGGGCCAUCGCUCAACGGAUAAAAGGUACUCCGGGGAUAACAGGCUGAUACCGCCCAAGAGUUCAUAUCGACGGCGGUGUUUGGCACCUCGAUGUCGGCUCAUCACAUCCUGGGGCUGAAGUAGGUCCCAAGGGUAUGGCUGUUCGCCAUUUAAAGUGGUACGCGAGCUGGGUUUAGAACGUCGUGAGACAGUUCGGUCCCUAUCUGCCGUGGGCGCUGGAGAAUUGAGGGGGGCUGCUCCUAGUACGAGAGGACCGGAGUGGACGCAUCACUGGUGUUCGGGUUGUCAUGCCAAUGGCACUGCCCGGUAGCUAAAUGCGGAAGAGAUAAGUGCUGAAAGCAUCUAAGCACGAAACUUGCCCCGAGAUGAGUUCUCCCUGAGACUUUAAGUCUCCUGAAGGAACGUUGAAGACGACGACGUUGAUAGGCCGGGUGUGUAAGCGCAGCGAUGCGUUGAGCUAACCGGUACUAAUGAACCGUGAGGCUUAACCUU
This 2900-nucleotide ribosomal RNA is filed under the name Klebsiella pneumoniae. Its description in RNAcentral is "bacterial LSU rRNA". It matches the Rfam family "Bacterial large subunit ribosomal RNA". The record is from RNAcentral. Lineage: Bacteria; Pseudomonadati; Pseudomonadota; Gammaproteobacteria; Enterobacterales; Enterobacteriaceae.